RNAcentral lists this non-coding RNA (105 nucleotides) under Picochlorum sp. RCC944. Lineage: Eukaryota; Viridiplantae; Chlorophyta; Trebouxiophyceae. The record is from RNAcentral.
UUAAAAAAAAAAAUAAAAAUAAAAAGAGAAAGAAGGAAAGGAAAGGGAAAGCUUAUAAGAGCAGGAGGGAUUUUGAUUUUUUUUUUUUUUCUUUUUCUUUUCUAU